GUAUUUUGUCAUAAACAUAUAUUUGCACAACGUGAAGGUCUUUACCUUUUUCCCUUAAGAACAAGGUACUGUCAAUUUACCUUUUUUGUAACCAUGCUCCAAUAGGAAUUUAGAUAGCCGUUCAUACCAAGAUCUUGGGGUCUGUUUGAGCCCAUAUAGAGCCUUGUUUAACGUGUACACAUGCUCAGGACAUUCCUUGAUUUCAAACCCUGGGGGUUGUUUAACAAACACUUCUUCCUUUAGGUAGCCAUUCAGGAAGGCACUUUUGACAUCCAUCUGAUGGAGAAAUCUUGGAGGUUGUUUUACAAGCACUUCUUCUUUCAGGUAGCCAUUCAAAAAGGCACUUUUGACAUCCAUUUGAUGGAGAGUGAAUUUCAUGUGUGCUGCAAAGGCUAUGAGGAGUCUGAUUGCCUCUAGUCUUGCAACUGGAGCAAAAGUCUCAUCAUAGUUAAUGCCCUACUCUUGGUUGUAGCCUUGAACCACCAGCCUUACCUUGUUUCUUGUAACUGUUCCAUCUUUAUCAAGUUUAUUCCUGAAGACCCAUAUUGUGCCAAUGACUAAUGUGUCAUUAGGUCUUGGAACUAGAUGCCAAACUUUACUUCUUUCAAAUUGGUUGAGUUCAUCCUGCAUAGCGUUCACCCAAUCAGCAUCCUAUAAAGCUUCAACAAUAUUGUUAGGUUCAAUAAGAGAUAGUAAAGCAUCAAAAGCACACAGAUUCUUCAGUUGUGAUCUAGUUUUGACUCCAGAUGUUGGAUCAGUGAUAAUGUUCUCAAUGGGAUGAGAACUUUGAUACUUGUGAGGUGUCAGAAAACCCUGGUUUCUGCUAUAUGUCUCUCCCAUGUUCUGUUGCUGAGGAACAGGUUCAUGAACAUGUUUCUCUUCGGGGUUUGAUUCAGUUUUUCCUUGAUUAGUUCCCCCUAUCAGCUUGCCCUUAUUAAAGGGACAUUUCCAUCACAUGUUCCUUUUUUUGAUGCCACUUUGACUUGUGCUGGGGAUUCAGUCAAUUCGUUUACCAGUCCAAUUGCUUCAUAUCCAUGUUCGUUUCUCUCAGAAAGAAUGUUAGUUUCAUCAAAUAAAACAUAUACACUUUCUUCUACACACAGAGUUUUUUAUUAAACACUUUAUAAGCUUUGCUAUAUGCAGAAUAUCUCAAGAAUACUCCUUCGUCACUUCUGGGAUCAAACUUACAUAGGGAGUCUUUUCCAUUAUUGUGCACAUAGCACUUGCAACCAAAUGCCCUAAGAUGGGAUAUGUUUGGUUUUC
This 1263-nucleotide long non-coding RNA is filed under the name Nicotiana benthamiana. Its description in RNAcentral is "long non-coding RNA (NBEN_LNC027611)". The record is from RNAcentral. Lineage: Eukaryota; Viridiplantae; Streptophyta; Magnoliopsida; Solanales; Solanaceae.